Molecule: transfer RNA, 72 nt
Filed under: Camelus dromedarius (Arabian camel)
Lineage: Eukaryota; Metazoa; Chordata; Mammalia; Artiodactyla; Camelidae
Also listed under: 1 other name
Rfam family: tRNA
About the family: Transfer RNA (tRNA) molecules are approximately 80 nucleotides in length. Their secondary structure includes four short double-helical elements and three loops (D, anti-codon, and T loops).
Source: Rfam by way of RNAcentral
GAGGGUAUAGCUCAGUGGUAGAGCACAUGCUUAGCAUGCAGGAGGUCCUGGGAUCAAUCCCCAGUACCGCCA